This is a long non-coding RNA of Psammomys obesus (fat sand rat), 3463 nucleotides long. RefSeq lists it as uncharacterized. The record is from RefSeq and is a predicted model, not a curated record. The transcript has 4 exons. Lineage: Eukaryota; Metazoa; Chordata; Mammalia; Rodentia; Muridae.
UUAUAGAUGGUUGUGAGCUACCAUGUGCGUGCUGGAAAUCGAACCCAGGACCUCUGGAAGAGCUUAACCUCUGAGCCAUCUCUCCAGCUCCCAGAUAGGUAUUUUGAUGAGAUAAACAUAGCUCUCCUCCUUUGUCAAGGAAGCUUCUUCUUACAGCAGACUGUUGCAGAGACCCACAACUGGUCAAACUGAAAAGGAUAACUUACUGUGGGUGCUCAAACCUACUUGACUCACUUACAACACAACCUUACAUCUAAGGUCCAAGGAGCACGGAGGAAAAGGGUGCAGAAAAGAGCGGAAGCACCAGGGGACCAGGGUGUCUACUCUAAGACAGUGUCUUCUAUAUGCGACAACGGAGCUCACCCAGGAAGUCCUGAAUAAGACCUGCAUAGUGACACUAUCAGUAGGCAUGCCAAAGUGGAUGCAGAAAUCUCACCAGGUCCCCACUUCGAGAAAGAACUCUAAGCAGCUGAGAGAGGAAGAAUCAAUGUAUCCAGUCCUGAGAGGUCAGCACAAAAUGCACAUAUGAACGAGCAAAAAUGCUAAACGGGCUCAGUAGGAAUCAGGGUAAAUGCAAGGUCAGAUGGCUCCUGGAAACAUUCAGUGCCAGGAAAAGGCUGUGGAUUCCGAGAGACCCAUCCAAGGAGUCACAAGAGGCCUGGGAUGGACUGAGGACAGAGGCUGGGUCAGACAGCAGCAGCAGCAUGUGGUUUUGCAGUUCUGAUCCCUCUCACCUUUGGAAUUUGCCAGGAAGCCUCUGAGAAAUUCCACGUGCGGCCACGCACCUGGUCAUAAAAUGCUCUGCACAGGUUUGGAGAAAUACUUGCUCAAGUGCCCAGGUCUGAAGGAUCUAGAAUUUUGCAUCACUCUUCAGGAGAAGGCUCAAUCCUUUCUCAUUGUUAAUACUGGGGAGUUUCUAGGAAGAGUCUGGGCCUACCAAGAAUCAUUGACAGAAGCAGAAAAGUCCUGUGGACCCAGCUGCUGCAUGUCUGCCCUUUCACAUGGGUCCCCGGGUUGCUGAGGUCAAAGCUGGCAAAGGCCACUAAGAAGUUCCCAUGAUCUCCUGCACUCUAGUGUAUGCCCAAUCAGGGAGGAGCAGAGAGCUGACAUCUGAGGCUAUCAUGCAGAUAGGCCUUUGCUGGCUGCUCUUUCCUUAACCUUCAGAUCUGGAUGGCUACGCCCUAGAGUGACUUGAGAAUCUCUCAGUAGGGGUGCUUGGAAACAGCCACCUAGCUGGUGUGGUUGUUGCUCAGCUUCCAAAGCUGCCAUGUCAAAGCAUGUUACAUAAGCUUGAGAAAACAUUAUUAUCUCUAUUAAAGAACCAGCAAAGGUGACCAUGAUGAGAUGAAUGAGAUGGGUCUAAGGCAUGUCACUCACGAAUAAAAGCCCACAUCUAAUUCUCCACAGGAAGUGAACAGCAGACUUCUGAGGAACACAUGUUCUCUGGCAAUAAAGAGGAACUUCCUUCAUAUAUUUAAUUAAUUAAGAUUGAGGAAUAUUUUCCAGUGGGAAAACUUAGUUGCUGUCCCUGUAUCUUUCAGGAUAUAUAACGUCUGGAAAGCUCAGAUGACACUGUCAUGUCUUCCUGGUGCCAGGCCAGUGAAUGGGUGGUACAAAAUGUUAUUACUUCAGUCAUUACUGAAGUUUCCCACAUGGCUGAAUCCAAUUAAUUAGGCCUAGCCAAACCUGCCAGCUACACCCAGGACCCAGCUGAAUAACGCUUAGGAUUCAGCAACACCCUUUCAACAAACACUCAUUUGUUACUACCUGUUUUCAGUGAAUCACUGUGGAUUCUUCCCUUCAGAGCCUUCUCCACACACACAACACUCUAGACCAAAGUCAAAAGCCUCUGCUUUAGAGUUCAUUAGAAAAUGUCCUUUAAACAAUUUUUCAAAUGGUAAUUUAUAUUUCACGUUGACCUAGUUUUGCUCAUAGGCAAGGAUAAUACAAUUAAUUUUUUUUUUUUUAGGCCUAAAUCAAAGGACUGAAUAGAGUCUUCCAGCCCUAUCUGUUUUCCUUAAAGUUGACAUAAAUCUUAUUUUCUCUCCAAAGCCUGUGGACUGUCAGCAGAACGGGCCCUAUGCUCUGUACAUGUCUUGAAGAGAUCUGGAGUAUCCCAGAGCAAACUCAUGUCCUUGGUUACCAGAGGUGCCAAGACUACUUAAGGUCUACUGUUUGCACCAAGCCACAUUUACUGCACGCCAGCUACUGCCAGAAAUGUCAUCCCAGCUCUCAGUUUCUCAAUUGCACAGAUACUGUGGUGAUGGACUGGAAGAGCAGAAUGCUAAAGAAAAGGCUGGAAUCGAAUGUUUUUUCAGAUGCCCGGACCCGAGCUAACUCUGGUUUCCUACAAUGUUGUGCCAGGGAAGGUCAGCCAAGAAUACUCAUAAUCUGCUCAUCGUGAGAAUAAAACGUGUCCCAUGCUAAAUAAAGCAUGUCUGCAUAUGUAAAAAUCUUAUUUAAAAGAAAAUUUGCCAUCAAGAACAUGAACUAGCUAUGGAAAUGACUUUCAGUCUCUAUUUUUAAGGUACAUUAAAUAUGUAUCUCAAUGGAAAUGUGAGGAAUUAACUUGCUUUGGGGCAAAUUUUCCAUUACUUCUGAGGCAGGUGUGGGGACUCAUGCAGGGGCAAAGCUUGAGGAACUGGCAGAGAGGCUGAGGCUGCUGGGGGCAGAACUGCUCAUUAGAAAAGGCCACGGGAACACCCCGAGAGCUGCUGCAUGUGGGACUGAGUCAGAGAGCACAACCUGAUCACGGAGUGCCAAAGAACAGAAACUGCCAGUCAUGAGCCUGCGACCACAGCUUUGCAUGCUCCGUUUGAAAUCAGCUGUCUUGCAGUCUGCCCACCCUGAAGCCAGGGCAAGAUGCAAGCUCAGGAGUCCUCCCUCAGCCUUCCCCUGCAGCAGGAACCCCAGGGAGAAGUCCAGGAGAAACCCUCCAGGUGGCAGGCCUGCCAUCUGUGCUGACAGAACCUGAUCACAGAGGAGGAAGCUAUUAAAACAUUGGUCAGUGCAGGAGGCUGAGCCAACUUCUGGAUCAGAGUUCCAGUUCUAAUGAGGCUUCAGGGAAGGCCUUUGUUCUCCUGAUCCUUGACAACAAACCCUUCAGUGCUCUGGGGAAGAGGGGAUGCUUGACACAGGGUGUGGGCACUAGGUAGUGGAAGUGAGGAGAGGGGAAGAGAAAAGAGCAAGGGACAAGAGAGUGGGGUAAAGGAGGGGAAAUAGAGAUUCUAGAACUCACUGACAAGAACACGCUAUAAGAGGCAGCAGAUAUGUCAGAGUCCUGUGAGAAAUUCUGAAUUUCAACUUUAUUUCUCUCCCCUUUUCCGAAGUUCUCUGGAGUCCUUCAGCCUGGAAUCAAAUGACUUUCCUUGCGUCAUAAGGCCAAGGUCUCAAUAUUCAAGCUAUAGCUCGACUAUUUCUGAAAUUGUCUUAGAAUUGUAGAAAUUACCUUAGAUGUCUGUAC